Molecule: long non-coding RNA, 557 nt
Filed under: Sinocyclocheilus grahami
Lineage: Eukaryota; Metazoa; Chordata; Actinopteri; Cypriniformes; Cyprinidae
Description: lncRNA (ENSSGRG00000024336.1)
Source: RNAcentral
GUGUGCAAUCAGCAGGGAGAACAAGGUUUGUUCGAGACAAACCUAUUGCAGAUGCCUUAGUCGAGGAAUCUGAUGGUAAAGAUUCUUUACCCGACAAUGAGCACAAAAAGCCGAGUAAGAUCCAAAAGCUGAAAUUUGCAUCAUUUAGAAGGCAGGAAACACAACAGUCUGACAGAGAAAGCAAAAGCUUUCAGCCUAAGAAGAAAACAAGAAUGCCAAGCUUUUUCAGUAGGAGUAGAAGUAUGACUACACGUCUCUAACAUUCAUGCCACAUUGAUGCCCAGUGAUGGUGGCUCACACCUCCCAUUUACCUGAGGAUUAUGGCACUUUUAUAUGUAUAGCUUGUUUUAGUCAAGUAUUUAAGGCUGCACUUAAAUAACGUACUGAGUAGUACUAAUAGUCUUCAUGUACUUAAUGGAUACUUGUUUUUUUAACUGUCAGUUCACUUUGUUUUUGUCAAUCCUAUUGUUUAUAAAUUUACAAUGCAAAAUGCUACCAAUGUGUAGUUUUCAUCACUAGAUCCAUUCAUUGUAUUAUAGUUAUUUUCUCAUUUAUCA